RNAcentral lists this ribosomal RNA (657 nucleotides) under Hypogymnia inactiva. RNAcentral describes it as "mitochondrial SSU rRNA". It matches the Rfam family "Bacterial small subunit ribosomal RNA", at positions 511 to 1130 of the family's 1533-position model. The record is from RNAcentral. Lineage: Eukaryota; Fungi; Ascomycota; Lecanoromycetes; Lecanorales; Parmeliaceae.
GCAGUCGCGGUAAUACGUAGAAGACUAGUGUUAUUCAUGUUUAAUCGGUUUAAAGGGUACCUAGACGGUAAAUCAAGCCUUAAAUUAAAUGAAGGGACUAAUUUACUAGAGUUACUUAUGAGGGGGUAUUAAAGUACUGCUGGUGUAGAGAUGAAAUUCUGUCAUACCUCUUUUCAAUAGAAAAACAAUGGCACAGGUAUAGGCGAAAGCAUCCCCUUAUGUGAUAACUGACGUUGAGGGACGAAGGCUUUGUGUAGCGAACAGGAUUAGAUACCCCAGUAGUCAAAGCAGAAAAUGAUGAAUGUCAUAGAUUAGAUAAAUAAGUUUAUUCUAUAAAUGAAAGUGUAAGCAUUCCACCUCAAGAGUAAUUUGGCAACAUUGGAACUGAAAUCAUUAGACCGUUUCUGAAACCAGUAGUGAAGUAUGUUGUUUAAUUUGAUGGCCCGCAAAAAACCUUACCACAAUUUGAAUAUUUAUAUUUUUUUAUUGUUUUCUUUUUAAUUUUCUUCUUAUUUGAUUUUCCUAAAGAAAAAAAGAAAGAGAGGCGAUAUGAUAUAUUNACAAGCGUUGCACGGCUGUCUUCAGUUAAUGUCGCGAGACUUUGGUUAGUUCCAUUAAAUUAACGUAAACCCUNACUUUAUUUUUAUAUAGAGUAGU